CUUUAUUGGAGAGUUUGAUCCUGGCUCAGGACGAACGCUGGCGGCGUGCCUAAUACAUGCAAGUCGAGCGGAUCUGAGGGAGCUUGCUCCCAAAGAUUAGCGGCGGACGGGUGAGUAACACGUGGGCAACCUGCCUGUAAGACUGGGAUAACUCCGGGAAACCGGGGCUAAUACCGGAUAAUUCAUUUCCUCCCAUGAGGGGAUGCUGAAAGACGG
RNAcentral lists this ribosomal RNA (216 nucleotides) under Mesobacillus persicus. RNAcentral's name for it is "Bacillus persicus 16S rRNA. Bacterial SSU". It matches the Rfam family "Bacterial small subunit ribosomal RNA", at positions 1 to 211 of the family's 1533-position model. The record is from RNAcentral. Lineage: Bacteria; Bacillati; Bacillota; Bacilli; Caryophanales; Bacillaceae.